AUCCACUGACCUUUCUCGUCCUCAUCCAGUCUCAUAAUAGCCACACUCUUUCCCAGCGACGGAAUUGGCCCCGAGAUCGCCGAGUCUGUCAAAUAGGUCUGUCUCCCUGAUCUAAACAAAUAAGUAUUUAAUUUCUUCUUCAAUUUUGUUUAUUGAGCUAAAUUUAAUUAGGAUUUUUAAAUUUAUCGAUACCUGAAUUUUGCGUUUAUUUUUAAAUUUAUCGAUACCUAUUAUUGCUGUGUUAGAAUGUUUCAUGUAUAUCUUAGCCCAUUGGCUUAUCCAAUUAAAUUGUUUUAAUGUGGAGUUAUUAUAUUAGUUAUGGUUAUAAUAAGCUGUCAUAAAGGUAAAAAGAUUUUGCAUUCAGGGCAAGUUGCCCUGUGGUAUACUAAGUAUUAAGCUGAGUAUGUCUUGUCUAAACAUCUGUGUAAGCAGGUUUCUUAUUUGUGUGCUAUGGAGUUUAUAUAGCAGGAUAGAGCUGUGAAGAGGAACAUAUCUUGCAGAUACUGCUUAUGUGAAGUACUAUUAAUGGUUCUAGUUAUCUCUUUAUGGCUUAUGGGUUUUAUGAUUGAUUUUACAUCUACAUGGGGUGUUUUACUUGGGUGGUUACUUCUUUAGUAUGAGAGUGUAAUGUCGGUGUCUAGAUCAAGUUGGGUUACCUCUCUUUAUUAUGAGUUUGUGGUAUUAAUUAGGUAUAACAACAAUCCAAUUGCAGCAAACUAAGUUGGCAAACUUCUUCAUUAUGUCGCAAAAAGAACUAUUUGUCAAUCUUAAAAGUUUUAUUUGUAUGAAAUGUAACUUAUAGAUUUUCCAGUGUUAUUUCCUUCACAGAGUUGCAGCAUAUAUUUCAGUUGCUUAAUUUGGAAAAGUAAAUAAAGAAGCUAGGACCUUGGAGGAGGUUGAGGUUCAUGUCUUGGCCUGGCAUAUAUCAUGAUACCUUCCUUCCCACUUCGCUUGCAAGCUAUCUUGACAGUAUAUCUCUUUCUCAAUGUGUGUGUGUCUGACAGUGUGUCUAUAUAUGUAUGUGUUUGUAUGUAUAUAUAUAUAUAUAUAUAUAUAUAUAUAUAUAUAUCUUGCUAGCUCUUUAACUAGUGUUCAACUUAUCUUGCAGAAAAAAUAAUUCUCUUGCUGCGAGAUGGCAGAAAGAUGUCGGGAAUACUUCGCUCUUUUGAUCAAUUUGGUAUUCUUUUGCUCUUUGUAAUAUUUGAUAUAUAAUUUUGUUCUUGCCUUAUUUUCCUCAUCUUUUCAUAUCUUACACAGCAAAUGUAGUUUUAGAAGGUGCAAGUGAGCGAGUUAUUGUUGGAGAUUUAUACUCUGACAUUCCCUUGGGUUUGUAUGUGUUCCAAGGGGAGAAUGUUGUCUUACUUGGAGAGCUGUUACUAUGCUAAUAUCUAUACCAUUUCAUACUUGAUAAAUGAUAUAUAGCGGUCGGCUACUCGGCUACAAGCUACCACACAAAUUUAUUGCAAUAUUGCUGCUCAUUUUACAGGAAUUGGAAAAAGAGGAGCUUCCCCAACAGAUGAUUCGAGUCUCUGCAGCCGAGAUUGAAAGGGCAAGUAUUAAUUUUUGGGUUUUGAAGGGUACAAUGAGAAAGAGGAUGGAGUUUCUUGAUUUUGACUAGGGUUUGGUUUCUGCCACUAUAAACAAGUUCUUGCCUAGUCUUCAAAUGUUACUGCAUAACCCAAUCACGAUAUGAGAGAAGUAGCCUACUUUUAACUGCUCUUUCUUAUUCACUCCCAAAAUAUGAGAAAAAAUAUUGUUACUGCUUCGGAGAUUUCUGGUUUUCGAUAGCCUACAUAUGAUAUUGAUCUUCUUCAAGAGUUUCAAGUUAUUUAAUAGAUCUGUGCAAGAAAUACAUAUUUUGCGAUAUACUUCUGCAUAUUUUAUUUUGCUUUAAUUUUUCUGGAUUGGGUAUUCAAGUACAGUGGAGAAAACUGGUACUAUCAUAGAAACAAACUGGCAGAAAACAUAGUCUGGAUGUCUUGAGGUUACAAGGAGGUAAAUAGUGUCACUCUUUUCAAGUUUGGAUGUCUUGAGGUUACAAGGAGGUAAAUAUUUACUUCAAAUGUCCGAAGUAUUACCAGUUAGUUGCCUUCAUUUUUUGAGUAUGCCCAAAAUGAUCAACAUUGAUUUUAGUUUUCUUGCAGGCUGAAGAUGUAGUUGCAGCUUCACUAGCUUGUAUGGUUAACUCGGCAUCAAAAUCUGGAUGUGGAAGUCCGACAACUAAGUUUCAACAGGUAAAAAAUGAUGACAUCUCUAUCCUUCAUAAUUGGCUAUUUCUGCCUUGUAUUUAUAAUAGCUUGCAUCUCUGUUUAAGUUCAGUUCCUGUAGAAACUGGAAAUCAAUAUGCGAUGUGGAAGCAUGCAUGUAUGGGGGGGAUGUGAAGGAAGUUUUACUUUGUAGAAAAGGAUCGAUAGCUUGUUGUUGGCUUGUUGCUCUCAAACUGUCCUCUGUUUGGCUCUGUGCAACCUUAUAAUCAAUGAUUUAAACUGAGUACCUUUCCAUUUUUACAUCCUAAAUGCAAAAUUUUCAAGUGUUCAGACCUUUAUUCUGUAAAUAGUUAACAUACUUCUUGGUCCUAUCCUUUGGCAGAUGCAAUUUCUUGAACAUAGUCAAAAAGUAGAAAAAUAGUAACAACUUUGAACGGUUAAGGUCCUUAGUAAUUGUUUUUUUAAUAUUAAAGUUGCCUUUUGUUUUCGUAAUACCCUUCUACAAUGUCAUUUAUGAAGGGGAUACAAAAUAACCGUUAAUUUGUGCAAGAAUCUUUGGUCUUUUUGUAUCUAGGCAGCGUUAUUGGGAGCAACAGUCACAGAUUUUCGUAGACUGAUUCUUGUGAGGCAGAUUCAGAGUUACUUAUGAAUGAUGGGUGUGCAAUAGAUGGCCGGAUCUCUGAAGGUGGUUCACAGGACGAGUUGGAGGUUUUGGAUUUAAGUUCCUUUUUCUUUGUCCUCUUCUUUCAAGUUAACUUACUGUUUCUUUAUGUAAUUGUUUAAAUCAGAAUCUGAAACUAAAAAUUGUAGGGAUGUAUGGAUAGUUUGGCAUUAUUGAGAUGUAAACGUAUUGUAUGGUAUUAAUAUAAUAUUUUUUGUAAUUGGCAUUACAAAGAAUUAUUGGGAUGUAAACGUAUUUUAUGGUAUUAAUAUUCUUUGUAAUUUUAGCUAUAUAUCAUGA
Molecule: long non-coding RNA, 3168 nt
Filed under: Panax ginseng (ginseng)
Lineage: Eukaryota; Viridiplantae; Streptophyta; Magnoliopsida; Apiales; Araliaceae
Description: long non-coding RNA (PGIN_LNC010703)
Source: RNAcentral